This is a non-coding RNA of Schistosoma rodhaini, 45 nucleotides long. NCBI's taxonomy places the organism in Eukaryota, Metazoa, Platyhelminthes, Trematoda, Strigeidida, Schistosomatidae. The record is from Rfam.
AUCUAGCCGAAGAGUCCCAACUAGGACGAAACGCGCAUCUGAGAU